Long non-coding RNA from Sander lucioperca (pikeperch), 575 nucleotides. RefSeq lists it as uncharacterized. The transcript is spliced from 3 exons. Lineage: Eukaryota; Metazoa; Chordata; Actinopteri; Perciformes; Percidae. The record is from RefSeq and is a predicted model, not a curated record.
AAAUCCAUCUGUAAUGAAUUUAAUGCAAAUGAACAAACAUCCACAAGAACAAUACAACAGCUUCAGGUUUUGUGGAAGAAUAUAAAAAUCAACCUAAAAAAAACUGCUGCAGAAGCCCGAAGAGAGAGGUUUAAGACUGGUGGAGGACCUGCAAAUAAAGAUACUGAUCAGUUGGAUGACUUACUGACAGGAAUAAUGGAGAACCAGCAACCUUUGGAGAACAUACCAGAUGAUGACCAUCUAGACAGUUCAGAUGAGGGAUCACACACACAUACUACAAUGGGAGAAAGUCAAAGGGACAUAACUGAAGCACUGCAAGGUAUUUUACCCUCCACAUCCUCAGAAACUAGGGUGGCAGUGUCUGCCAGUACCGGUCAUCAAAACAAAAGAGUCACAAUCCACGAAAAGCUGGCCAUUGAAUUUCAUGAACACAAGUUGAAGUACCUUAAGGAGGAGCAUGAAAUGAAAAUGGAGAUCCUCCAAGUAGAACUGGAAAUGAAGAUGAAGGAGAGAGAGAUGCAACUGUCUCAAAUAUCACAACAAUGAAUAUGGAAUAAAAAUUGUUUAUUAAAUCA